RNAcentral lists this ribosomal RNA (253 nucleotides) under uncultured bacterium. Its description in RNAcentral is "partial 16S ribosomal RNA". It matches the Rfam family "Bacterial small subunit ribosomal RNA", at positions 524 to 776 of the family's 1533-position model. The record is from RNAcentral.
UACGUAGGGUGCGAGCGUUGUCCGGAAUUAUUGGGCGUAAAGGGCUCGUAGGCGGUUUGUCGCGUCGGGAGUGAAAUCCACUGGCUUAACUGGUGGCUUGCUUUCGAUACGAGCAGACUAGAGUGUUGCAGGGGAGACUGGAAUUCCUGGUGUAGCGGUGAAAUGCGCAGAUAUCAGGAGGAACACCGGUGGCGAAGGCAGCCUCCUGGGCCAACACUGACGCUCAUGCACGAAAGCGUGGGGAGCAAACAGG